UACCUGGUUGAUCCUGCCAGUAGUCAUAUGCUUGUCUCAAAGAUUAAGCCAUGCAUGUCUAAGUAUAAGCGACUUUACUGCGAAACUGCGAAUGGCUCAUUAAAUCAGUUUUAAUCUACACGGUAGAUGGAUACACGGAUAGCCGUGGUAAUUCUAGAGCUAAUACGUGCGCGAGGGCCGACUUUUUGGAGGCCUGUAUUUAUUAGGUACAGAACCAACGCUUUUGGUGAUUCAGGAUAACUUUUCGGACGCGUCUUUUAUUGGGCGUGCGCGGCGUGUCCUUGAUUGGGCGCGGCGUGGCGUGCCCGGGAUUACUUUGAAAAGAUUAGAGUGUUCAAAGCAAGCGUUGCUUGAAUAGCCCAGCAUGGAAUAAUGGAACAAGACUUUGGGCCUGUUUUGUUGGUUUCCGGGGCCGAGGUAAUGAGCAAGAGGGGCGGUUGGGGGCAUUCGUAUUUAGUUGUCAGAGGUGAAAUUCUUGGAUUUACUACAGACGAACAUCUGCGAAAGCAUCUGCCAAGGACGCUUUCAUUGAUCAAGAACGAAAGUCGGGGGAUCGAAGGUGAUUAGAGACCAUCUUAGUCUCGACCAUAAACUCUGCCGGCUGGGGAUGGGGAGGUGAUUUGUGUCGCUCUCUGCACCCUGUGGGAAACCAAAGCGUUUGGGUUCCGGGGGGAGUAUGGUCGCAAGGCUGAAACUUAAAGGAAUUGACGGAAGGGCACCACCAGGUGUGGAGCCUGCGGUUUAAUUUGACCCAACACGGGGAAACUCACCAGGUCCAGAUUUGAGGAGGAUUGACAGAUUGAGAGCUCUUUCUUGAUUUCAAAGGUGGUGGUGCAUGGCCGUUCUUAGUUGGUGGAGCGAUUUGUCUGGUUAAUUCCGUUAACGAACGAGACCUUGGGGGGGUUUGUGGGGGCCUGUGCUUCGGUAGAGGGUCCCUCAUACCACGACGACCGGUGCGAGCCGGAGGAAGUUUGAGGCGAUAACAGGUCUGUGAUGCCCUUUGAUGUCCUGGGCCACACGCGCGCUACACUGGCGGGGGGAGCGCGUUGGGGGGGCGGGAGCCCUGCCGAAUCGUUGGAAGCCCUGCCGUGCUGGGGAUUGCAGUUUGGAACUAGCCUGCAUGAACGAGGAAUACCUAGUAGGCGCGCGUCACCAGCGCGCGCCGAUUACGUCCCUGCCCUUUGUACACACCGCCCGUCGCUGUUACCGAUGGGUCUUGCUGUGAGGUUGUGGGAGCGGAACAUCCUGGCGCGCAAGCGCCAGGAUUUUCCGCGAACACAAACGAAUUGUGGGAUCUAGAGGAAGCAAAAGUCGUAACAAGGUUUCCGUAGGUGAACCUGCGGAAG
This 1346-nucleotide ribosomal RNA is filed under the name metagenome. RNAcentral's name for it is "SSU rRNA". It matches the Rfam family "Eukaryotic small subunit ribosomal RNA". The record is from RNAcentral.